Musa acuminata AAA Group (dessert banana) is the source of this 674-nucleotide long non-coding RNA. RefSeq lists it as uncharacterized. The record is from RefSeq and is a predicted model, not a curated record. The transcript is spliced from 2 exons. Lineage: Eukaryota; Viridiplantae; Streptophyta; Magnoliopsida; Zingiberales; Musaceae.
GGUCGUAAUAAUCGAUCGCUCCCCGUAAACCUAGGAACCCUUCUUCCCUUAAUCCAUGUCCUCCUCCUCUGAUCGGGGUCCCGCCGUUGUCUUUAAAGAUGCCUUCAGUGGUGGUAGGCGCACCCCGAUCGGAGCUGCUAGACAAGCCGGUGAUGGCCGACGAGGAGACCGGCGAAUCCUCCUCCUCUUAGUUUGCUUUCGGAGGUGGUAGCGGCACCCGAUCGAGGCUACUGUAACACAACGACAACGAGUCCGUCGCUCCCCGUAAACCUAGUAACCCUUAACCCCUUGAUCCACCACCUCCUCGUCCUCUCCCGAUCGGGAUCUCCGUUCUUUGCUUUCAAGAUCCUUCCAGCGGUGGUAGCACACCCCGAUGAUUACUGCUGGAACUCGACGACGACCAGCUGGGAUUGGAUAGCGAUGGCCCAGAAGAAGAGUGGUCGGUCCUCUCCUCUUUGAUCUGUUUCUAGGCCUGUUACAAAUUCCAUGACCGAUUUGAUCUCUUCCUCCUUUCUUAUUGUUGUCUCUAACAAUCUUUAGAUCUUAAGAACAUGUAGUUUCUCUCUUGGUUUUGAUGCAGAUCUCUUGUAGAAUGUUCUCGUUUAUGUGAUAUUGUGAAAUUACAGGAACAAGGUUCGUUUGUAUAUGAAUGGGAAGUCUGGCGCUGGUUAUCA